This 386-nucleotide unclassified non-coding RNA is filed under the name Hevea brasiliensis (rubber tree). The record is from RNAcentral. Lineage: Eukaryota; Viridiplantae; Streptophyta; Magnoliopsida; Malpighiales; Euphorbiaceae.
CCUCAACAAGGAUCCAACGUUAGACCGAGGUCCACAUCAUCAGCAUCAGCCAAUCACGUGCAGUGGUACUAUCCGGCGGGUUCACCUGCAUCCCCAUUUCAUCAUCCGCACCAUCAGGCCGUUUCUUUUUAUGGGUACACCCCAACUUAUGUUGCUGCUGACGUCAGUUACAAUCACAAGCUGAGCUACACAGGCGGGUCCUACAUAAACGGGCAUUUCUCUCAGGUGUACCCAGGACAGUCUAUUAUAGGUGCCAAUGCAGUAAUGCCAAUGUACCCGCUUUAUCACUUCUAUCAAUCACAGACAAUGGGCCUACCUGCCCAUAUUUUCCCACCAACCACAGCGGGACUCAUAAACACUGUCCCCACAAUAAUGUCGAAGCCCCC